AUAGUUGUUUUGCGGAACAAUCGCAUGGUAACAUUAGUUGUUGGUUAUCAACUCACAAUAUCGGUUGUCUUAAGGAAUGGUUUCUUAUGGGAUAGUCAAAAGAACCUUGAUGAUGUUACAUUAGACGUCGCGCUGUGGACUGUCCAUGGAUACAUGGCUUACUACUGGAAAAAUAAUUCUAGAACAAAUCUAGCCCGUGUCGAGGACAUGUGGACUGAUUCUAACGGGAAAAAAAAGCAAUCUGCUAAUCCUCGCUACAUGAUGUUUACUAUGACCAGCUGCUUGAUUUUCUUUAUUGUUUUCAGUCUCC
RNAcentral lists this unclassified non-coding RNA (310 nucleotides) under Zea mays. RNAcentral describes it as "misc RNA Zm00001eb130900". The record is from RNAcentral. Lineage: Eukaryota; Viridiplantae; Streptophyta; Magnoliopsida; Poales; Poaceae.